CAGUGUGCCUUGAGCAUGUCAGUUGAGAAACCAUCACCCACUUUUGGGACAGAGGCUCAAAGGUUGGUUGUUCCUGGCUUUCCUCUGAUCAGCUUUGGAGAGUUUGUGGAAGAUUUGAAACAUCUUGAUUUGAAGAAGUUGGAAGGUGUCAGAUCAGAGAGCUGGAAAGUGAAUGAGCAGUUCUUCAGAAUAUCUCUCGUGGCAUCAAAAGGCAACUGCUGGGUGAACAGCUUAUUACUCAGACUGACAGAGUUUGAUCUUUGACUGAAGGGAAAAGAAGUUUGGCAGAUUUCUAUAAACAUUAAGUUCAUAAAUUUUCUGGAAAUACAUUUAAAACACGGAAUAUGUAAAUAAUGAGAAUUGGAAGCUGCCAUUUACUGCUAGGUUACUCGCUCCUUUUCUAGUUAAAAGUGGUGAAGGAGGAUAGAGCAGUAAAAUGGAAAGAAAAAAGAAGUUGGUUUAAUAAAAAUAUACCAUUUUAAGGUAUUGAAUGGGCAGAAUGUCUUUUUAGUUCUAGAAUCAAUCAAAGGUUUUAAAUUAGGUGUGAACAAUUCCUGGCCACUUCCAUUAAACUGAUCAAUUAGUCAAACGUGUAAAAGUAGAGGUAAGAAUGAAGGAAGUCAGAUGAGACCACAUAGGAAAUUGCUUGUGAGGUAAAGAUGCCCUUUGUGGUCCUGCCCUUUGGAGCUUGCAUAAAAUAGCAAGCCAGCAUUCCAGUAGCAUACAAGCCUAGUGCUGAAAUAGUUCUAGUUAAGCCCCUGAGGGUGUGUGUGUGUGUGUGUGUGUGUGUGUGUGUGUGUGUGUGUGUGUGUGUGUGGUGCAGGGUGGGGGAUAAAAAGAAGGUGCUUUUCUCCUUAGAUGUCCAAAUGAAUGGAAAUGCACUUACUGUCUGUUUUGAGCAAAUGGAAGCUGGAAAUGUCAGAGAUACAAUCUUUAUGUAACACAAAAGGAGGAUUACAGGUCUCUGACAUAAGAGGAGAGGGAUUACUGUCCAGUUGACGUAGGAAAGGGAGGCUUAUGGUGCAUCUGACAGAGCAAUAAUUGUACAGAAUUAUUUGUAGGGUUAGAAUAAAUGAAUGAACUGAGUGGGUGGUUCUCAGAGAAAAUCAUGUGUUACAACAGUUCUCUUUUAUAGAAACUUGGCACAGGGUAGGAAAACAGGGCUUUAUUUACUCUAAGAAAAGACACCUGAAUUCUUAGGUGGUUAAUUCAUUAAGCUCUUUUACUUAGUGACUCAACAGUGUGUGGACGCAGGGUUUUUCCCACAGAUAAAAUAUUGUGCAGGCAUCUCUCUACAAGCUUGGAAUGAGAAACUUUAACAUCUGAAAAGCCCCAAUAACCCCAUCUGUCAAAAUAGUUAUUCUAUUCCCGAACAAAACAAUUGAUACAGAAUAGAGGAAUGGUUUGAUUUUUGUUUUCCAAUGAAUAAAGCCAAGAAAGGGUCAUGAUGUGGCUACUCUUACCUCUUCAUUUAAUAUCUGUAAAGUAAAUCAUUGUUGUCAGACCAGUCAAAAGAGCACUAAAUUCAUACUGGGACCUGAAUUUGAAUUACAGCUCUGACAUUCUCUCUGGGAUUGUGAGAAAGUCCCUUACCUUCAGAGCACAUUUUCUCACUUGUAAAAUGGGGGAAAGAAUGGUUUUUAUUUCCUUAUCUUAUAGAAUCCUUGUGAGGAAAAUGCCUUGUAA
Monodelphis domestica (gray short-tailed opossum) is the source of this 1686-nucleotide long non-coding RNA. RefSeq lists it as uncharacterized. The record is from RefSeq and is a predicted model, not a curated record. NCBI's taxonomy places the organism in Eukaryota, Metazoa, Chordata, Mammalia, Didelphimorphia, Didelphidae.